GAAUGCUAAUACCGCAUACGCCCUACGGGGGAAAGCAGGGGAUCUUCGGACCUUGCGCUAAUAGAUGAGCCUAAGUCAGAUUAGCUAGUUGGUGGGGUAAAGGCCUACCAAGGCGACGAUCUGUAGCGGGUCUGAGAGGAUGAUCCGCCACACUGGGACUGAGACACGGCCCAGACUCCUACGGGAGGCAGCAGUGGGGAAUAUUGGACAAUGUGCGAAAGCCUGAUCCAGCCAUGCCGCGUGUGUGAAGAAGGCCUUUUGGUUGUAAAGCACUUUAAGCGAGGAGGAGGCUACCGAGAUUAAUACUCUUGGAUAGUGGACGUUACUCGCAGAAUAAGCACCGGCUAACUCUGUGCCAGCAGCCGCGGUAAUACAGAGGGUGCGAGCGUUAAUCGGAUUUACUGGGCGUAAAGCGUGCGUAGGCGGCUUUUUAAGUCGGAUGUGAAAUCCCUGAGCUUAACUUAGGAAUUGCAUUCGAUACUGGGAAGCUAGAGUAUGGGAGAGGAUGGUAGAAUUCCAGGUGUAGCGGUGAAAUGCGUAGAGAUCUGGAGGAAUACCGAUGGCGAAGGCGGCCAUCUGGCCUAAUACUGACGCUGAGGUACGAAAGCAUGGGGAGCAAACAGGAUUAGAUACCCUGGUAGUCCAUGCC
Molecule: ribosomal RNA, 649 nt
Filed under: uncultured bacterium
Lineage: Bacteria
Description: bacterial SSU rRNA
Rfam family: Bacterial small subunit ribosomal RNA
Source: RNAcentral